Molecule: long non-coding RNA, 538 nt
Organism: Leptinotarsa decemlineata (Colorado potato beetle)
Lineage: Eukaryota; Metazoa; Arthropoda; Insecta; Coleoptera; Chrysomelidae
Source: RefSeq, a predicted model, not a curated record
ACGUCUUCUAUUGUAUCCCUAUUGGAAACUAUCGUAUUGGCAGGAGUUUUGUAUGCUCUAUCAGCCCAAAAUAAAUGGUUGUCAUAUACAAUAAUAACCGUCUUUGGGAUUUUCCAGAGUGCUUAUUUGCCAGCAGGAGUGGAAUUUGGGAUGGAAAUAACAUAUCCUUCACCUGAGAGUACAGUGUUGGGAAUUCUAUACGCCACAUCGCAGAUUAUAACUGUCGUUCUUACCAUUAUAUUUGGACAAAUUAUAGGAAAAUUUGGAGCAUUUUGGGCUCUUACUGGAAUGAUCAUUACUUUGGCACUGGGUACUACUUUAUCAAUAAUGACGCCGAAUGAACUGAAGAGGCAGAAAUUUUUUGAAAUACAUAAUCGUGUAAAGUUCACGCAGGUUCCUCAGCAUGAUAAUGAUAAUGUGAUAUAAGACUGUAUGGACCAUGUACCAAACAAUCACAAUGGGUGUUAUAUUGAUGGACUCUAUUUCUGUCAUGUUAAUUUCACAAAUAAAAUCGUUGACAAAAAAAUUCGGAAAAAUA